Salmo salar (Atlantic salmon) is the source of this 495-nucleotide long non-coding RNA. RefSeq lists it as uncharacterized. The record is from RefSeq and is a predicted model, not a curated record. Lineage: Eukaryota; Metazoa; Chordata; Actinopteri; Salmoniformes; Salmonidae.
CUGGAGAGGGUCGCUGCCCUCUGUCUACACAGGAAACAAGGAUCAUCAGACUCCCAUGACCAAACAAUAAUCAAUGAUGCAGACUGCAGGUCAGCCACCAGGGGGAGACUCGUCGAGGCCUGGUGACAGACGGAGUAUACGUCGAGGCGAUGGCUACAUCUGCUGGACGUGCCAGGUCUCGACGGGCUCGCCGCCCAGGACGAAUCGGGGCUGAUUGGGGAGUUGGUGAGUAAUCAAGGGCUGAUUGCUCACCAGCUGUACAAGUCCCAUGAAGCUGCCAGAAGGGCAGCACACAGGAGAAGACUGGGGGAAGUGAGGUGACUUCCAUGUAGGUGGAGACGGUUACCCGAGCUAAGACGAGGGAGUUGUGUUUGUGUGCCCGACAGGAUACAGCAAGACCCGGAGCCCAGAAGACAGUAUCCCGGAGAGGGUCUCAUGGGGGAGACCCAUCCUUUUCCUUUUGAUUUAUUAUUUAAUAAACACCCUUGAAACCGA